AGUGAACGCUGGCGGCAGGCCUAACACAUGCAAGUCGAACGGCAGCACAAGAGAGCUUGCUCUCUGGGUGGCGAGUGGCGGACGGGUGAGGAAUGCAUCGGAAUCUGCCCAUUUGUGGGGGAUAACCUCGGGAAACCGGGACUAAUACCGCAUACGAUCUACGGGUGAAAGCAGGGGAUCUUCGGACCUUGCGCAGAUGGAUGAGCCGAUGCCGGAUUAGCUAGUUGGAGGGGUAAAGGCCCACCAAGGCGACGAUCCGUAGCUGGUCUGAGAGGAUGAUCAGCCACACUGGGACUGAGACACGGCCCAGACUCCUACGGGAGGCAGCAGUGGGGAAUAUUGGACAAUGGGCGCAAGCCUGAUCCAGCCAUGCCGCGUGUGUGAAGAAGGCCUUCGGGUUGUAAAGCACUUUUGUUGGGAAAGAAAAGCAGCCGGUUAAUACCCGGUUGUCAUGACGGUACCCAAAGAAUAAGCACCGGCUAACUUCGUG
RNAcentral lists this ribosomal RNA (490 nucleotides) under uncultured bacterium. Its description in RNAcentral is "partial 16S ribosomal RNA". It matches the Rfam family "Bacterial small subunit ribosomal RNA", at positions 29 to 507 of the family's 1533-position model. The record is from RNAcentral.